GGGAUGAGCCCAGCGCCGAAUCCCCGGCCGCAAAGGUCGAGGGAAAUGUGGCGUUCGGGAGUGAGCGUGCCGGGUGAGGGAGGAGCGGCAAGUCCCCCUGACCGGGGCCUGUCCAUAGCGGGUGCGAGGCCCAUAGCCGCCCCGCCCCGCCCGGAUGCGAUCUCCUUGGAGUCGGGUUGCUUGGGAGUGCAGCCCUAAUGGGGUGGUAAACUCCACCUAAGGCUAAAUACCGCCGUGAGACCGAUAGCAAACAAGUACCGUGAGGGAAAGUUGCAAAGAACUUUGAAGAGAGAGUUCAAGAGUACGUGAAACUGCUCAGAGGUAAACGGGUGGGCCCUCGAAAUCCUGUGGGGAGAGGAUUCAGUCUGGCCCGGCGGACGGACCCGCGGAAGCAAGGAAGGGCUUCCCGGGACGGGGCGCCGUCCGCGGGACCGACUUCUGCCGGUCCAGACGCAUUUGACUCUCCCCCGAAGGACGCUGCAGCCGGUCCGGCAGUGCAAGCGCGACGGCCUGAAGGUCGGGAGGAGGCAGGUGGCCGGUGGCUCGCCCCGUUGCGGGCCGCCGGUUGUUAGCCGUCCCGUCAGUGGCUCGUCGCCGGACCGUGGUGUCUAGAAACGUCUCCACACCCCGCGUGUCGGCGGGACGGACCGGGGCAAGGGCCUUCCGUCUGUAUCCGGCCGUCGCGCUCCUCAGGAGCGGGCGGUCGGGCGGCGGGCCCCGUUGGCCUCGGCGGACCCGUCGGGGAUCGGAGGCUGGCAGCGAGUAGGUCGGUCACCCACCCGACCCGUCUUGAAACACGGACCAAGGAGUCUAACAUGUGCGCGAGUCAAUGGGUCUUGAACAGGCCCAGGGGCGCAAUGAAAGCGAAGUCCCGCGCAAAGCGGGACGAGUCGGGAUCCCGGCCCGCCAAGGAGGGUCGGGCGCACCGACGACCCGCCCUGUCCGGCUCGCCGGUUGGGCGGAGUUUGAGCGUACACGUUGGGACCCGAAAGAUGGUGAACUAUGCCCGGGCAGGACGAGGCCAGAGGAAACUCUGGUGGAGGUCCGCAGCGG
Molecule: ribosomal RNA, 1053 nt
Filed under: Stagetillus sp. UBC SEM M.Bodner MRB079
Lineage: Eukaryota; Metazoa; Arthropoda; Arachnida; Araneae; Salticidae
Description: eukaryotic LSU rRNA
Rfam family: Eukaryotic large subunit ribosomal RNA
Source: RNAcentral